Phascolarctos cinereus (koala) is the source of this 273-nucleotide long non-coding RNA. RefSeq lists it as uncharacterized. Lineage: Eukaryota; Metazoa; Chordata; Mammalia; Diprotodontia; Phascolarctidae. The record is from RefSeq and is a predicted model, not a curated record.
GCCUAAGACUAUAUAACUGCUUGCUGCUGUUUGUGCCAGGCCUCACUACUCUAGUCUGCUGUGGUUGUCAGUCACCUCCAGGAGCUUAGAGUCCCCUUCUCCUGAUGCAGAAUGCUGUUCAUGGAGGAAGAAAACUGUCUCAGAAGUAUUGGUCUUUCUAAAUACUAAAUUCCUGAAGAUUGUAUCCAUGGGAAGUUGCACAUAAUGCAGUGUUUGGACGGCAUAUAUAAGCGCUUGUUUCACUUCCCAGUUCUGCUAACUGUUCCAAUGAAG